CCCUAGCCCCGAGUGAAGUGAAAAUCAUUUUUUAUCGUUUUUCUCGAUAAAAAAUAUUGCAACGAAAAGCGGGAAAUAGC
RNAcentral lists this small RNA (80 nucleotides) under Flavobacterium sp. 11. Its description in RNAcentral is "Flavo-1 RNA". It matches the Rfam family "Flavo-1 RNA". Lineage: Bacteria; Pseudomonadati; Bacteroidota; Flavobacteriia; Flavobacteriales; Flavobacteriaceae. The record is from RNAcentral. RNAcentral also lists the same sequence under 1 other name.